UUGCACCCUGGUGUUGGGGUGCUGUGGGGGAUGGCAGCCUUAGAUGGGGGCUAGACCAGAUAUCUCUGUGACGUGUCAGGUUUAGACUUGGGCUGGUUCCUCAGCCAAGGUGGGAAGGGGGUCUCUUGCAUCUCCUUAAGCUCCCUGACCACAAUCUAGGUGUUAGCUCACAGUUUCAUUGUUAAUAUUUAUUUAUUUGGCUGCAUCGGGUCUUGGUUGCGGCACGCUGGACCUUCAUUCCAUCAUAUGGGAUUGUUGUGGGGCACGGACUCUUUAGUUAAGGCAUUUGGGCUUAGUCGUCCUGUAGCUUGUGGUAUCUUAGUUCCCUGACCAGGGAUCAAACCCAGGGCCCCGCAUUUCAAGCCAGAUUAUUAACCACUGGACCUCCAGGGAAGCCCGUCACACACAGCUUUUUAAAUGUUUGCAAGUGCUGUUGUGGUGAACGAACUGCAAAUUAAUGCACGAGUUUUGCAUGCAUGGCAGAUGUGUCUCUCUCUUCUCAAACACCAGACACUGGAAAGCCAGUUGCUGCAGUGGAAGGGCUGGUGGGCUGUGGGUUUUUGAUGGUGGGUUAGUCUCAUAUAAGGGUUCUCAAAGCUCUGCCCUAAGUGUUCCGAUGGCUGACCUGAACCUUCCGGGACUGGCAGUCAUCCCCUGCACUGGCUCCAUUGGGGCUUCUCAGGGUAAGAGGCCCAUUGGAAAAGGAGACAGCUGGCUUGGGGAGGGUGAUGGAGGUGGCAAUGAAGCUUCCCUCUUCUCAGCCUGGGCCCCCAGCUGAGCUCCAUUAACAGAGACACUUCUGGAGGGUCUAAUGUGUGUGCUCCCCAUCCCCUGAUAUCUGCCCUGCCCUGGAGGUCUCUCUCUUCUGGGAGCCAGACUUCUGCUUUCUCAGCUCUCCUGGGAAGGUGGCAUGGGGGAAGGGCGGGGGCUGGAAGCCUUUUGGACCAGAACAAGGACAACUUCCUCUGAAGAUUAUCAGGGGAGGUGAGAUGCCCGAAGAGGCACCCCCUUGUGUGGAAACAGAACCCUUCAUUGCCACUGAUGAACCCCCAAGUCUGAGGUGUCUUUUAUGAAACCAAAGGUAUCUUGGUGGGUUUAAACACAAGUUACAGGAACCCCAUUACUGGGAGCGAAACAGGAACCUUCAUCAUAUCACUAUUUUGACCCCACAGUUGGCAAACACAUUCACAGACUCAGGAGGAUCUUCGUAGAGGCAAUGAAGGGCAGUGCGGAAGCUGUUAGGGAUCCCAGCUUGACUGUUCCCUGGCUGACGCAGGUUCGGUGGAAAUGAUGGCAACUGCCAUGCGGUGGAUCCAUAUCCCAGCCCCUGCAAGGGCUGCUCUACCUGUGCGACGGCCAGCCCCGCAGCUGGGUUUGGCUACCCGGCCCCAAGGCUGAUUAGUCCGGAGACACACGUGACUUCAGCGGGCCAAUCAGCUGUGUCCUCCCCGAUACCACCCCUCCCUGUUGGGGAGUGCGAACUUGGGUUCCGAGGACACCGGUCCGUCUUUGUAAGGCACCUCCGGAUUUCUGCUGUUCACAUCCAGAGCGGUUUUGAUCACCAGUGGACCCCAGGAGCUUUCAGUGUCUCAUUCAGUCUGUGCAGGAGACCUGGGUUCAAUCACUGAUCCGGGAAGAUCCCGUGUGCCGCGGAGCAACUAGGCCAGUGCGCCACAACUAUCGAGCCUGUUUUCUCGAGCCUGGGAGCCGCAAGACCGUGGGCCACAACUGUUGAAGGCCCGCAUGUCAGAGCCCCUGCUCAUCAACAAGAGACACCACUGCAAUGAAAAGCCUGUACACUGCAACUGGAGUUUGCCAACCGUACACUAUCCCCUCUUGCUGCAACUAGAGGAAAGCCUGCAAGGCAAUGAAGACCCAGCACAGCCAUAAGUUCUAUAUAUAAAACAUGGGAAUCCAGAUGUGCAGCUCAUUUUGUGUCACCUGUCCCCUGAGAGCUUGGCACAAAGAGCUGAGCUUCUGGAGGGAGGCUUAUUAGUCUGACCCCAGCUCUCCUUUACUAGUUCUCGGAAUUGGCCAAGUCUUAGCUCCCACACCUAUAAAAUGGAAUCUAACCUCCAUCUGAGGUUGUGGAAAGGAUUAGAAAUAAAGGUGUAAAGUAUUUUGCAUAGUGUCUUGUGCAGAGCAGCCAUUUAAUAACUGACAAUUAUUAGUUUCUUAAAGGGUAAAUAAAUUCAGAAGAAAUUUGAGUUGAGACCCAGUUAAGUUACACCAACAAUUUUAUUGACAAGCGCAUUAAGUUUGGGGAAUAUUUCUAGCUCCCCUCCCCAAG
Molecule: long non-coding RNA, 2290 nt
Organism: Bos taurus (domestic cattle)
Lineage: Eukaryota; Metazoa; Chordata; Mammalia; Artiodactyla; Bovidae
Source: Ensembl